RNAcentral lists this ribosomal RNA (227 nucleotides) under uncultured Paracoccaceae bacterium. Its description in RNAcentral is "uncultured Rhodobacteraceae bacterium partial 16S ribosomal RNA". It matches the Rfam family "Bacterial small subunit ribosomal RNA", at positions 690 to 917 of the family's 1533-position model. Lineage: Bacteria; Pseudomonadati; Pseudomonadota; Alphaproteobacteria; Rhodobacterales; Paracoccaceae. The record is from RNAcentral.
GUAGAUAUUCGGAGGAACACCAGUGGCGAAGGCGGCUCACUGGCUCGAUACUGACGCUGAGGUGCGAAAGUGUGGGGAGCAAACAGGAUUAGAUACCCUGGUAGUCCACACCGUAAACGAUGAAUGCCAGUCGUCAGCAGGCAUGCCUGUUGGUGACACACCUAACGGAUUAAGCAUUCCGCCUGGGGAGUACGGUCGCAAGAUUAAAACUCAAAGGAAUUGACGGA